UAGCCCUACGGGAGGCAGCAGUGGGGAAUAUUGCACAAUGGGGGAAACCCUGAUGCAGCGACGCCGCGUGAAGGAAGAAGUAUUUCGGCAUGUAAACUUCUAUCAGCAGGGAAGAAAAUGACGGUACCUGACUAAGAAGCCCCGGCUAACUACGUGCCAGCAGCCGCGGUAAUACGUAGGGGGCAAGCGUUAUCCGGAUUUACUGGGUGUAAAGGGAGCGUAGGCGGCGAUGCAAGUCAGAAGAGAAAGCCCGGGGCUCAACUGCGGGACUGCUUUUGAAAAUG
Molecule: ribosomal RNA, 284 nt
Filed under: uncultured bacterium
Lineage: Bacteria
Description: partial 16S ribosomal RNA
Rfam family: Bacterial small subunit ribosomal RNA
Source: RNAcentral